Molecule: non-coding RNA, 2438 nt
Organism: Petromyzon marinus (sea lamprey)
Lineage: Eukaryota; Metazoa; Chordata; Hyperoartia; Petromyzontiformes; Petromyzontidae
Source: RefSeq, a predicted model, not a curated record
CGAGAGACGCCGACGACGUCGAGAGACGCCGACGACGUCGAGAGACGACGACGAGAGACGGCGACGACGACUCCCACCCCUUUCCCCAAAGCGAUCGGCAACCGAAGAAAAGAGAGCGAGGAAAAAAGGGGCGGCCACUGAAAGCGAAACGUCUAAUUUAAACGUGUAUCCGCACUUGUGGUUGUUCGUAGUUAGGUUUUUAUUUAAGUGUUUUUAUUGCACGUUACAAAACGUCGCGUCUUUUUUUUAAGAAGACGGGGGUGGGGGGGAAGCGUGUCCACUCAUUCAGCGGCACAAUUUCAACAACAACACAAAAAAAGUCUGUACGCUUUCCCGCGUACGGACCCGUAUACUGUCGAGCACGGUUGUGUACAUUUCUUUAAAUGUCUUGAACUUAUGGUGAAGCUUUGGGUUAAAGGUUUAUUGUAAAGGGUGGCGGGUUUUCAAUGUGCCUGUAGUCGCCGCCUGUCGCUCGUUAGCCAUCGUCUCUCUCUCUGGGCUCACCUUCAAUCCUGGCGAUGGCAUCGAGAAUACAACAUCUCCCCAAACAUCGGUCGUAGCAAUUGUCGACGGGAAUACCGCGGUGCGUGCGCGCAAGGCCGUGACUUGCAGGGCAGAGAGGUGGGUGGCAGUACCAGCAAGUGGGUUGGUAACCUACCUGUACAGAAAAAAAAGCGUGCGUUCGUGUCACGGCACGCGCGCGUGUGUUUUGUCUGGAGUGGGGUCGCGGUUGGCGCGCUGCGCUGAAAAAACCGGCGACCCGAGUUCGGAUUCCCGUUCAUGGGCCAACACAAGUGACGAUUAUCUGAACCGGUCUUGUGCAUCCCUCCCUGGGCUCACUAGGCCCCAAAUGAGUACCUGAUUCGGUGUAAACAUCAGCACUGGGGAGACAAAGGCGACCGGGCGUGGUGUUUGUCCACCCACCUCUUGUGCUGUGCAGGCCUUCAUUAGGUGCUCGCUAACAGCACUUGCCCACAGUCUGUUAAGGAUACUCGGGGGAUCGUUGUCUUGUGGAUAAUCCGGUUUCCACCCCACACGAAAUUAAAAAAAGAGUAAAGUCCAUGAAUUAUACAAACUUUCCAAGGCAGGGCCCUCCUGGAAAACGGAGACUAGCGAGGCUUUCCUGGAAAAAAAAUAACGAAGCUCUGCAAAGAACUGUUUAAUGACUGCCUUUUUGACUGCAGCGGGAAAAUAAUUUUGCAAGGUUCACUUAAAACAAAAAUUAACUUGUAAAAAAUGUCAAAACAGCAUCUGCCACUCGCAUGUCCCUACUGUUAAAACGUUGUACAAAGUCGUCCCGAGCAUCUCUGAUGAAGGGUUCUUCUGCACGUUGUCCAUCACCGCACGCUAAGAAAGACCAUCUCUCAUAAAAAAUGAAAGUAAAAAAAUGCAAUGUACAGAAUGUUAUUGUUUUGAAGUGUACAUUUUCUUAAAAGACUCAAUGGUGUAAGCAAGAUUUAAUGUUAUGCUGCUGCAUCAGCAAACGAAAGUGUUUUUUUUCAAUUAAUAUUUUUUCUAUUUGGUUAUUGUUACAGCUGGCAAAAAAUGCAAAUAAUAAAAACUGGACACUACAUCACCCCCCCGCAAGUAGAUACAUCAAGGACAAUUAAUGUUAAGAUUCAUAUGGUAAGAAUGAGAGCACACACCUUUUCCAUUGACACAUCCGAACCGAGCCAACGUGGGGUUCCUCGCAGAACUGGUGGUGUUUUUAUUUUCCAUUGAGCAUUUGCAGAGCAGCCACAACGCAUAACCGUGCCAUGCUGGCCUCAAGACAUCCGAGUCGAUUUCUGGCCCAGAUGUACGGUGGGAAAGAGUUAAAGGGAAGACCGGCUUUGAGAGGAUGUUCAGACUUCUUCUUUCGUGUGGAUUAAUAACAGCAGAUUAAAGAUGCCGUUUUUAAUUUGUUAUCCACUCGGUUCAGGAAACGGUUUUGGGGGAUCCGUGUGUCUCGCACAGCUCUGAGAGGUGUUGGCACCUUGUGCUUGCACGGGAUGGAGUUUCCCCUCUCGACCGCACGAGGUUUCGCCCCCCUCCCUCCCCUACCUCCAGUUGCUCUGUGAAGCUGUUCACUCACAAGGAUUGUUACUCUCUUAGCGUCAUUCUAACCGAACCCUCCAUGUCGACUUCAACGCAUGUUUAAUUGCAUUGCAUGCGCCGCGAUAAAUUUUCACCUUUUGUUAUUUUUCCCCCGUUCAGAUUUUUUGCCAGCUGCUAAAGGGAUGAUGCUCAUUGUAGACGUUCUGUGUAAUGUAGAGUGCGGGUACGGUCACGCAAAAACAAAUGAAUCGAUGUAAUUAUUUUGCUCGACCAAAAUCGCUUUAGUGUAAAGAUUUUAAAAAACGACUUUACGAGAUGUGAUAUUUUUAUACACCUGCAAAUCUUUAUACUUGGACACUGCGGCAUGGCUUCUGAAUAAAGGCAAAGUACAUUUCACCCAA